UGCGUUNCGAACUGGGUGGCUAGAGUGUGUCAGAGGGGGGUAGAAUUCCACGUGUAGCAGUGAAAUGCGUAGAGAUGUGGAGGAAUACCGAUGGCGAAGGCAGCCCCCUGGGAUAACACUGACGUUCAUGCCCGAAAGCGUGGGUAGCAAACAGGAUUAGAUACCCUGGUAGUCCACGCCCUAAACGAUGUCGAUUAGCUGUUGGGGCACUUGAUGCCUUAGUAGCGUAGCUAACGCGUGAAAUCGACCGCCUGGGGAGUACGGUCGCAAGAUUAAAACUCAAAGGAAUUGACGGGGACCCGCACAAGCGGUGGAUGAUGUGGAUUAAUUCGAUGCAACGCGAAGAACCUUACCUGGUCUUGACAUGUACGGAACCUUCCAGAGACGGAAGGGUGCCUUCGGGAGCCGUAACACAGGUGCUGCAUGGCUGUCGUCAGCUCGUGUCGUGAGAUGUUGGGUUAAGUCCCGCAACGAGCGCAACCCUUGUCAUUAGUUGCCAUCAUUCAGUUGGGCACUCUAAUGAGACUGCCGGUGACAAACCGGAGGAAGGUGGGGACGACGUCAAGUCCUCAUGGCCCUUAUGACCAGGGCCUCACACGUCAUACAAUGGUCGG
Molecule: ribosomal RNA, 614 nt
Filed under: uncultured bacterium
Lineage: Bacteria
Description: bacterial SSU rRNA
Rfam family: Bacterial small subunit ribosomal RNA
Source: RNAcentral